This 253-nucleotide ribosomal RNA is filed under the name uncultured bacterium. RNAcentral's name for it is "partial 16S ribosomal RNA". It matches the Rfam family "Bacterial small subunit ribosomal RNA", at positions 524 to 776 of the family's 1533-position model. The record is from RNAcentral.
UACGAAGGUCCCAAGCGUUGUUCGGAAUCACUGGGCGUAAAGGGAGCGUAGGCGGCGCGGUAAGUCAGAUGUGAAAUCCCGGGGCUCAACCCCGGAACUGCAUCCGAUACUGCCGUGCUAGAGGAUUGGAGAGGUAGCUGGAAUUCUUGGUGUAGCAGUGAAAUGCGUGGAUAUCAAGAGGAACACUCGUGGCGAAAGCGAGCUACUGGGCAACUCCUGACGCUGAGGCUCGAAGGCCAGGGGAGCGAAAGGG